GUCUCAAAGAUUUCCUUGCAUGUCUAAGUAUAAGCACUUUAUACUGUGAACUGCGAAUGGCUCAUUAAAUCAGUUAUCGUUUAUUUGAUAGUACCUUACUACAUGGAUACCUGUGGUAAUUCUAGAGCUAAUACAUGCUAAAAACCUCGACUUCUGAAGGGGUGUAUUUAUUAGAUAAAAAACCAAUGCCCUUCGGGGCUCCUUGGUGAUUCAUAAUAACUUAACGAAUCGCAUGGCCUUGCGCCGGCGAUGGUUCAUUCAAAUUUCUGCCCUAUCAACUUUCGAUGGUAGGAUAGUGGCCUACCAUGGUGGCAACGGGUAACGGGGAAUUAGGGUUCGAUUCCGGAGAGGGAGCCUGAGAAACGGCUACCACAUCCAAGGAAGGCAGCAGGCGCGCAAAUUACCCAAUCCCGACACGGGGAGGUAGUGACAAUAAAUACUGAUACGGGGCUCUUUUGGGUCUCGUAAUUGGAAUGAGUACAAUCUGAUGCCCUUAACGAGGGACAAUUGGAGGGCAAGUCU
RNAcentral lists this ribosomal RNA (522 nucleotides) under Aspergillus alliaceus. RNAcentral describes it as "SSU rRNA". It matches the Rfam family "Eukaryotic small subunit ribosomal RNA", at positions 34 to 562 of the family's 1831-position model. The record is from RNAcentral. Lineage: Eukaryota; Fungi; Ascomycota; Eurotiomycetes; Eurotiales; Aspergillaceae.